UUGCGAUGAUGAUGAAAAUACAUGUAAUUGAAAGUUGUCUCAAUAGUGAGAGCUUGAUGUAGUGCUCAACCUGAGCGGUUACCUGAGCAA
Cryptomeria japonica (Japanese cedar) is the source of this 90-nucleotide small nucleolar RNA. RefSeq annotates it as small nucleolar RNA snoR128. Lineage: Eukaryota; Viridiplantae; Streptophyta; Pinopsida; Cupressales; Cupressaceae. The transcript has a single exon. The record is from RefSeq and is a predicted model, not a curated record.